UGCAGCUCAAGUGACAUUGAGGAGAAACCAUGCAAUUAUCCAACUGUACUGACACCAUUAGGGAGCUUGAACUGGAUCCCAGGGCUUGUCAAGCCCUUCAGUCCACUUGAAAACACUUUACAAUUUCUGGCAUAGGUGUGUGAGAAUGAUUUAAUUAUUGAAGCCAUUACUAAAGGGAGGAAUUGAGGAGCUAAAAAUGGGCAGAUACUGCUUCUGCACCAGAAGGGAGCUGGACUGACAAACACACAGGGCUCAUUGCUGAACUACAGAAGUUGGACACAAGCUUUGAGGCCAUGUGGUUGAAUCCAAGAUUCAUCCUCCAUCCCUGGACCAGAGACAUCCACAUGAGCCUUCAUCCUUGGCCUGGUACCAGCUGUGGGGUGAAAUGGAGUUCUUGAACAGGAGGUGAUCUGACAAUAAGUGUAUUUGCACCACAGAUACCUGAUGUAUUACUUCAUCAGCAAAUUCAACAAGGCCAAGAUGUCUUCAUUUUCCUUCAGAGCAAGAGCUGUAAGAGCAGUGUGGUGGAAGUAUUGGUCUUCUGUGGCCAGGCGGUGAGAGCCCAUCGACAGCUGUGAUGAGCAGAGCAGACACGGGAGACAGGAGGCAGCUGAAGCCAAAGAGGACCCACGCCUGGAGCUGUGUCUGUGUGAUUGGAGCAGAGAGAGGCCAGGACCCAAGGAAAUCCCAGCAGCAAGGGAAAAAAACAGAUUGACUCUCAGUGACUCAUUUAGCUCCUGGAUUGGACAGAUCUCUCCCCUGCUGGCAAUUUGGCUGAGCAUCAAUGGACAGAUACCAGGAUGAAUAGCUUAAAAUAAUUAGGGGUUGGGAAUUUGCAAAACUGCUAGCCAUCCAAUUCUUUACUGUGCAAUGUGAGGCAGAAAAAAGAAAUUACAUUUAGGUUAUUAAAUAUUAAGUCAGUGGAUUUACUUCCAUUUGGUGCAGAACAGGAAACUGGCUAAAAUUCAACAUUUAUAUCAUUGUGUUGAUGGUCUGUUUAUCACUGAGCAAGUAAGUGCUUUUUGGCAGGUCAAGCUCUUUGACACAUGGGGCAAAUGCGUGCUUAAUUUCUCCCAAACAGAAGAAUUAAUAUAAUAAUAAUUAACACAGAUGAGAACAGAAUUAAAAUCAAGUACAGUCAGGAGUUUAGUUUAAUGCCAGGUGUCUCACAUUCUAGAUGUUCUGGGGCCAGAUUUUUCCUGUUGAAGGUAGCAAGGGUUUUGCCUUUGGCACUUCUGGGAGCUGAAGUGCGCCUUGCACGUAAAGAGACAGGAUUCCCUGUACUUUCCAUUCAAUGCACAAAACCAGAAGCAACAGGCUCAUUUAGUAUCAGUAAAGGUCAGUUAAAAUUAUAGAGACAUCCUUUGGAGCAAAUCCUCUGUCUUGCAUUUGCAUAUUUAUGAAUUAGAGAUUACGACAGGCUAUUUCAUUUAUUAGAGCAGCACUGCUAUAGUUAAUAGUCUGUCAGUACUUCCAUUAUAAACCCCGUUUUUCAGUGUUUAAUAUCUCAGCCAUUUAAAAUCACAUCAGGAAGCAAGUCAGUCUUAUGUUGCUGGCCAGGUGCAAUUUUUUGUUAUGGAUUACUUUUAAUAAUGAAAUACUGCUCAUCAUAUAUGCAGAUGAGCCACAGCAUUUCUGUUGGAGGGACAUAGCAAGGUGUGUAGUUUCAUUGUGGCUUUGUUUUUCUUUAGGAAAGAAGGGAAAAGAGGGAUUUGACCAAUCAUGUCAACUGUGGCCGUAUGUUUGAAGAAGAAUUUUUCAAGCAACUGCUCUCAGAGGCAAGGCUGGUUCUCAGUGGGAAAUCUGGUUGCUGUUUGCUUUCCAGUGGUGACCAAGGUAAACAGAUGAGGAUGGUUACCCUGUCCCUCUGAU
Melozone crissalis (California towhee) is the source of this 1872-nucleotide long non-coding RNA. RefSeq lists it as uncharacterized. The record is from RefSeq and is a predicted model, not a curated record. The transcript has 7 exons. NCBI's taxonomy places the organism in Eukaryota, Metazoa, Chordata, Aves, Passeriformes, Passerellidae.